UGGGGAAUAUUGCACAAUGGGCGGAAGCCUGAUGCAGCGACGCCGCGUGGGGGAUGAAGGCCUUCGGGUUGUAAACUCCUUUCGACAGGGACGAAGCUUUUGUGACGGUACCUGUAUAAGAAGCACCGGCUAACUACGUGCCAGCAGCCGCGGUAAUACGUAGGGUGCGAGCGUUGUCCGGAAUUACUGGGCGUAAAGAGCUCGUAGGUGGUUUGUCGCGUCGUCUGUGAAAUUCCGGGGCUUAACUCCGGGCGUGCAGGCGAUACGGGCUGACUUGAGUGCUGUAUGGGAGACUGGAAUUCCUGGUGUAGCGGUGAAAUGCGCAGAUAUCAGGAGGAACACCGAUGGCGAAGGCAGGUCUCUGGGCAGUAACUGACGCUGAGGAGCGAAAGCAUGGGUAGCGAACAGG
RNAcentral lists this ribosomal RNA (409 nucleotides) under Actinomycetes bacterium. RNAcentral's name for it is "Actinobacteria bacterium partial 16S ribosomal RNA". It matches the Rfam family "Bacterial small subunit ribosomal RNA", at positions 355 to 776 of the family's 1533-position model. The record is from RNAcentral. Lineage: Bacteria; Bacillati; Actinomycetota; Actinomycetes.